AACCGAAUAACGAAACUAUUUAAUGA
Molecule: non-coding RNA, 26 nt
Filed under: Drosophila melanogaster (fruit fly)
Lineage: Eukaryota; Metazoa; Arthropoda; Insecta; Diptera; Drosophilidae
Source: RNAcentral